GAGGGUAGAGCUCAGUGGUAGAGUGCGUGCUUAGCAAGCACGAGGUCCUGGGUUCAAUCCCCAGUGCCCUCA
RNAcentral lists this transfer RNA (72 nucleotides) under Camelus bactrianus (Bactrian camel). It matches the Rfam family "tRNA". From Rfam's summary of the family: Transfer RNA (tRNA) molecules are approximately 80 nucleotides in length. RNAcentral also lists the same sequence under 2 other names. The record is from Rfam by way of RNAcentral. Lineage: Eukaryota; Metazoa; Chordata; Mammalia; Artiodactyla; Camelidae.